AUGCCCGUGACAAAUAUGACAGGAAGCCAGUUGACUACACAAAGUCUGAUACGCCCUCAGCGCAGUCUUCAACUUUAUGACAGUAACCCUCUUUCUCUGCAGCAGGUGAGCCGUAUCACCCUGAGGACGAUGUUGUGCACCAGAGCUGUGGACGUGGUGACCCACCUGGAUAUUCCUAACCAUAUUAUCAGUUAUCUCUUACACCAGUGAACUCUUUCCUUAGAGGUCCACAGAUAGUGUGGAAACACCUUAAGCAUUGAAAUAUCUCCAACAAAUAUCAGUUUUGUUGGCACUUUAGAGAUUUAUAGGUGCACUAUGUAUUUUUUUGUGUGUUAUAAAUGUAUCCAAAUUAUUUUUCUAGCAAUUUUUUAUGGUUACCUUAAUUGACUACACUUUACAUUUGAAAAGAAUAGUGUGCUUGUAAAUGACAAUUGUGUCAUUAUCAACUCAGUUUCAUGUCGUUCCAAACCUACAUUUUUAAAGAUGUUUUUGUCUGUACAUUGAAUGUCAGUGGGGUCCAGAAUAACCACUUUACGGACAAAAAAUUUUUUAUUUUUCAAAAUAUCUUCAUAGGGAGUAAAUGUUAGAAUUUUCAUUUUUGGGUGGACUGUCCUUUUAAGUAACAGAAGCACAAUGUAUUACAUAAAUAGGAAGCUCUUCUUAAUAGCACUUCUCAGCAGAACAGUCCAGAUUUGCUGUAAAAUAUGUUGUCUUAAUGUGUCUGAGGUGAAUUUAGGAGUGAUGAAAACUAUUAUAUGUUUGCUAAAUAUUGCCAGAGAGAAAGAGUGGGAGAUAGAAACACAAAAAGAGGAAACUUAAUCUGGCAGCUGUCUACAUUCAGGAACUCCUCUGACCGCGUAAUGAAGUCCAGGGAUAUGUCAGCACAUUAGUAGAUCAGACGACAGACACUAUAUGCACAACACACACUGCAUUGCUGGAUAUGAGCAUGUUAACAUCCUCAUGCUCUCAUUAGAGAUUCUUUAAAGGAGAUCACAGCGCCUUGAACUAAGGGUUAUUGCACAGGCCCGGGGGAAACACUGGCAUUCAUAUUAUGACAUGAGCUGCUUGAGUUAUACUACAGUUUUGCCACAUUCAUUGUUUGUGACGCCAUACACAAUGACAAUGACAGAAACCAGUUUCCAGCAGUGUUUUGUUGUAGUAACAUUGUAUUAGUACACCGGUUGUAAUAUAUCACUAUUCAGCUUUUGUUUCCAAUUCUCAACUGCUGUUCUUACAUCUAAGAAGUGAAGAAAAGAUAUUUAAGACAACAUGAAAUAGCCUUUAGAAAUUAUUUAAUUAAGAGUUAAUCAGAAUAUUCUGCAGGAAAAUAAAUCAGAUGCGAUUUGAUACAUUAGGAUCUGAUUGGAUCGUGAAAUGUUGGGCUUUUUCUCUCCUCAGUUUGGACUUUGCCAACAAAAAUUAAGUAUUUUCUGAUGUAAACUAAAGUAAUAUUACCAUGAAAGAUAAUGACAGCAGUCUUUUUACUUUUUAGUAUAUUUUCAAAUAAAUGCAGCAUAGGAAAUUUUUUCCAAAAAUAUUAAACAUGUUACCAAACCCCAAACUUUUGAACAGUAGUGCAAGAAAUAAAAAAUAAAAAAAUAAAGGUUUUAACCAUUUAUCUUCAAUUUAUCAUUAGAAAACGGUUUUAUUUUAAGCCAGAGUUCAAAUGAUUUGUUUCAUUUAUUUCUAAGACGCUCUUUCAACUGUUCCUUCCCUUAAUUCAUUUAAGUGGUGUCAGGAUUAGUUUUGUGAGUUUGACCCACAGUUCUCCAAGUUCUCUUUAUCCAUCUGAUCCCUUCACAUCCCAUGCCUCCUCUUAUAAAGUACAGAAUGUUCUAUAAAUAGCAGCCAGACCAAAAAUAGAAAGAAGUCCAUGUGUUUGUGUUCUGACUGAGCUGGAUAAAUGAGUUCCUCUUCCUGUGCAUGUAUCCCGAGCACAUAAACGUGCUGGAUCUGACCUGAAACUGAGCAGCAGGGAGGGCAGGAAUGUUGUUUUUAGAGCGCAAACCCUCGUCUGAUAUUAAGCUUACACAGACACGACAGCAGCGAUUGAAAGAAUGCUGCUCUUUUUCUUCUUAUCCACCUCUCAUCUUAAAACAGCCUUUAAAGGAUUGUUGUUUUAUCUUCACCAGUCUUUAUUGUUUAAAGCUGAUUGUGGAAUUCAUGUUCUGUACUAGUUAGCCUAAAACAUGCCAGUGUUAUCUGGAUUUUAGUUGUUUUGUUUGGUUAUUCCAAGGCAUGAGUACUUUAUAGCACCAAAUACUAUAAGCUUGAGUGUAAAGUUUACUGUUAUACUGUUCACAAAUACUUGAUGCUCAUUAUGUUUGUAUAAGGUAAUUAAGUUAUUGUAAAGUCAAUAUUUACAGCAAGAUGCUGAUUGUUUUAUUAAUCUGUUGUCCUUACGCAGGAUAUCCCAUAAGUCAUAAAACAAUUAUCAUUCUUCUUCAUUGAGAAAACAACAGACCUGACAAGGAUAUUGUUUGAAUCAUAUUUUAAUAUCAUGGUGAUUACAGUGUUCACCAAUGAUUCAACUUUCAUAAUGAACAAUAUUUUUAUUUUAUUGAUUUUAUUUUAGUUAUUUUUUUAAUUAUCGGCAGUUGUGUGGCUGGUUUUAUGGAUUCCAUACCAGUGAUUCAGAUUUUAACACAAUAUUUUGAUUUCUAAAGACACUAAUCAAUCUCCAUUUAUUUUAUAUCAUUUUAUUACACUACACUUACACUGCGCAGGCCAAUUCAGUGCAAUUUCUGUACAUUGCCACAAGGGGGCUCCGCAGCUUUUAUAUUUGAACCAUUAGUCUUUUCUUUGUUUCUAGACAGUCUUGCUGCUUUGUGAUCAAAAGAAGGCCUCUUUGCGAUUAAAGUCACCUGAUCACAUUCUGGUGAUUGUCCCACUGACCUUUGAUCCAUGAGCAUUGCAUAGUAGAAAGUGAAGUGACACCUUAAUUUUUACCAGACGGGUGUACAGCUCCUUCAGCUCCUCAUAUUCAUUCUUUCUUCUGCUUGUUGCUGUUGUGCUGCUGCAUGUUGACGUUCAGGCUUGUCAUGCAAGAAGAAUAGCACACCUGAUUACACAACCGAGCAGCUUUUGUGCUGGAACAAAGGUCUGCGGUCAAGAGAGCAGCUUUAGAAGAUGUGCUUGCAGAAAAAGAUUGUGACCCAUAGUAGGAGGAAAAGCAGCAGAAGCAGAUUCUGAGAUGGUCCGCUUCUUGUCUUAAGAGGCUCCCAGGCACAAACCAGCUCAGAUCCACUCAGGAAUUCUGCCUCAAUGAGAAACAGAUGUGUGUGUGCAUGAAGCGCAGCCAUGAAAGCUAAGCUCAGCUCCAAAACUGCACACUCCACACACACACACUUGAGACCGUUUUCUAGUUGUGAAACACCGUAUUGUACCCAAGAAAUGUUUACAUGGUCUAGUUUUGUUACUUUAUAAUUCUAUCACUGUAUUUUAUUAUGCAAAACCUUUCAUAAAAGUAGUUGCAGAUUCAAACUGUGUGCUUUGUUUUGGAGGUUACUGCAUCUUUUGUGCCACAAAUGGGAGUAAAUUACAUAGCAGGCUAAUUUGUAGAAUGACAAAUGGCUACAGGACAGAAACGGUUUCCCAGAUCUUUUCAUCUUGGUUGCUUGUCACUUAGCAAAAAGUGACUUACAAGUCAGUAAAUGCAGACACAGGCCCCUAAAGCAAUGCUGGGUUAAGUCCUUCGUCCUGGAGUUUGUCUGGUCCCUAUCUAAAAUCAAACUUUAACCAGGCUUUUCAUCUGUUUUUAUGCACUGUCUAAUGGUCUAGAGAUGAGACAACAGACAAGACUCGUUCAAAAAGUCUUUGUAGAUGUCUAGUCAGAAAAAUGUGUUUCUGUCCAGCUGAGAGCAGAAGCAGUGUAGGAUAGACUACACACACAUUCACAUCAUCUGUCUUUGUUUCCCCUUCUCCUCUAAAUGAUCAUACCAUCUGUGUGUGUGAUUUUUCUUUUUUCUUUUUUUUUUUCUUUUCUAAAGGGACACCCUCUAUUUGAUAUUCAAACAACACACCACAUACUGACCUCAGCAACUUUCCAUUUAAGCUCCUGGUAAAGGUAAAGGUUAAUGGUAAAGUUAUUUUUAUUAAUUUUUUAUUUUUUAUUUCAGUGACAUGGUUGGUGUCAUGGAUUGAAUAACAGUGAUUCCUCCAAAAAUGAAUAAGUUUUACUAAGAACAAUAUAUUGACUUCUAAAGCCACGAAUUAAUUUUAUUUUAUUUAUUUAUUACUUCUAAAGCCACUUUUUUAUUAUUAUAUUAUAUAUUUGUUUAUUUCCAUUAAUUUCAAUGGCAGUUGCAUGCUUGGUUU
This 4317-nucleotide long non-coding RNA is filed under the name Carassius auratus (goldfish). RNAcentral's name for it is "lncRNA (ENSCARG00000011673.1)". The record is from RNAcentral. Lineage: Eukaryota; Metazoa; Chordata; Actinopteri; Cypriniformes; Cyprinidae.